This 660-nucleotide ribosomal RNA is filed under the name uncultured fungus. RNAcentral's name for it is "LSU rRNA". It matches the Rfam family "Eukaryotic large subunit ribosomal RNA", at positions 23 to 664 of the family's 3401-position model. The record is from RNAcentral. Lineage: Eukaryota; Fungi.
ACCCGCUGAACUUAAGCAUAUCAAUAAGCGGAGGAAAAGAAACUAACAAGGAUUCCCCUAGUAACUGCGAGUGAAGCGGGAAGAGCUCAAAUUUGAAAUCUGAUGGUUCUUGACCGUCCGAGUUGUAAUCUAGAGAAGUGCUUACCUGUGCUGGACCGUGUACAAGUCUCCUGGAAUGGAGCAUCACAGAGGGUGAGAAUCCCGUCUUUGACAUGGACUGCCUGUACGUUAUGGUGCGCUCUCGAAGAGUCGAGUUGUUUGGGAAUGCAGCUCAAAAUGGGUGGUAAAUGCCAUCUAAAGCUAAAUAUUGGCGAGAGACCGAUAGCGAACAAGUACCGUGAGGGAAAGAUGAAAAGAACUUUGGAAAGAGAGUUAAACAGUACGUGAAAUUGCUGAAAGGGAAACGCUUGAAGUCAGUCACGUCGGCUAGAAAUCAGCCUUGCUUUUGCUUGGUGUACUUUCUUGUUGAUGGGUCAGCAUCAAUUUUGACCAUCGGAUAAAGUCGUUGGGAAUGUGGCAUCUUCUGAUGUGUUAUAGCCCAGGGUCGCAUACGGUGGUUGGGAUUGAGGAACUCAGCACGCCGCAAGGCCGGGUCUUUUGACCACGUCCGUGCUUAGGAUGCUGGCAUAAUGGCUUUAAUCGACCCGUCUUGAAACACGG